Non-coding RNA from Mus caroli (Ryukyu mouse), 2290 nucleotides. Lineage: Eukaryota; Metazoa; Chordata; Mammalia; Rodentia; Muridae. The record is from RefSeq and is a predicted model, not a curated record.
CAUCCAUGGACAUGUUAGCAGAUGCCUCUCAAAGCAAAGGGGACUUGAGUCAGUACAGGCGAGUACAGCCCAAGAUCUAAGGAUGGAUGGAAGUGAGUCCUGAAGACUACAACAUAACUUCAUGGUGCCAACCCAGAAUAGAAGAUUCGAAAGCAAGCUGUUGCAUGCUGACCAAUCCAAGGGAGUCAAGAUCUUCCUUUGUCUCCUCCGCAAAAGCUCUGCCAGCCGCAGCCAUUCCUGCCUGGAGGCAGAGCCUAGAAGUUUCCAGUUGCCUGCCUCUGUUUCCCCAUGCCAGUUCAGAAUGCACCCAGAUCUCUUCCUUGCCAUCUGGAUAGCAUUCUCUUCGAGGGCACUUUGUGAAAGAACUCAGCUGUAGGUGGGAAUGAAUGUUGCGAGUUUCUCAAUGGACUGGAAUUGUAAAUCACUCUGAAGUUGGGAUGAAACCCUAGGAGCUGUGCCAUGCAAACCACAAUUCCCUAAACCUCUGUAAAAAUUGCCCUGAACCCCCUGGAGACCUGGCAAGGCGUUCGUUUUUUGUUGCUUGGCACUUGGCUGCUCCGGUUCUGGCUGAACCUCAGCAGCCCAGAGGCAUAUAAACACUUACAGCCUCAAAGCCUAAGCCCUAGACAAGAAUGCCUCCCGGACCCCUGGAUACUUUCCCUUCAGCCUCUAAAGCAAAAGGAAACCCCUCAGGCUCUCGGGGAUGGCGGCGGGGGCAGGGGUGGUAAGCAGGGAAAUACAGCUGGCACUGGCUCUCGGGUGAGCCUUGGUCCUAUCCUUCUUGCGCUCUCGAAGCAGAUCCUAGGAUCCAUACUUGAGUUUGUGCAUCAGCUGGGCUAGGGACCUUGAUUGCCAGUCUUUGCAGUUGUGCUAGGGAAUACUGGAGGCCAAGGCCCUUGGGCCUGGGAGGCUGCAGAUGGAGCUCACAGGAAGCUUUGAAGUUCUGAGCAGGACGGGGGAGGCGUGGGAAGUGAGACGUCUGUUUCCCUGAGUUCCCAGGAGGCGAGAUGUCUCUCUGUUAUCUUAUAGGCCUCAGCAUAGCCUAAAGGUGCUGGCUAAAGCCAGUCUUGGCCCUGAGUAAAUCAGGCCAGAACCAAAGAACACACUUGAAUGGAAGUGGAAAAUUAGCCGCUAUGCAGGAGAAAGCCUCCUCUCCAAAAUAUAUAUGCAUCAAAGUGUACCCCUGUCUAGCUGGGACAGGAGCCAUGAAAAUGCAAAUGUGGGUUUUGAGAAUGCUAAUGUUGGAAGUGGAGAACAAAGCGGAGACAGACUUCUUGGGGCCAGGCAGAGGGCCCCAGGGCAGGAUGUGGGAGCCAGUGGGGGCAGGGAUGAAAGGGGGAAGGAAGCGGUGUGAGGGGCCUGGAGAUGAGAGAACAGCAGGAGCCUGGCAGGGCUGAAAGACUAGAAAGAAGGGAGUGUAGAGAGGACGGGCCCAGAGGACCUGACCGCUGACCGCUGACCUGAGGCCAUGGGCCCAGGAAACAGGAGGGGGACUUGAGGGAACUAUCUCAGAGUGGCAACCCAGCGGGGUAGGAUGUGCCUAGAGGUCAAGGCUUGGAGCAAGAGACAACAGAAGGUCCCGGGUUUCGUUAAAAGCCAGGAAACAGGAGGCAGGCUCUGCUUGGGCGCAAGAGGUAUAAAAGAAGGUGCUAUAGUCCAGUGCUGUGCCAAAGCCAAGCUGGACUGGUGCCGUUGCACCUAGAGCUGCAUCACGGGCUUGCAAUCCUAUGCUUGCAGAUGGAGGACUGCCUUCUCAGUGUCCUGAGAUGCAGAGCUCAGUGGCCACUAUGAGGCUGGACGAGCGUAGAGUUUGCUUCCUGGAUGCUUGUUGGUACCUCUGAAGGUGAAGCAGCAGCAGCCCAGGCCUUCAUAAUGCAAGCCACAUCCACCUGUAGAGGCCUGAUGAGGCUCCCUUCCUGUUCAGUCUAGAAAACCAGCACAUGCCUCUUCAGUUAAGCUGCAUCCCCUCUCCCAGAGGUGCUGCUGUGAGUCCUCUGGUACUGAGAAGUCCCCACCCUAACCACUAUAGCCUCGUGAUUAGAAAGCAGACCCCUGGAGUAAGUUAUUGGACCCCAGAGAGAUUAAAGUGUGGUCAGAGGUACCAGGCCAAAGUCAAAGGCCAAAAUGGGGAAAACUCCCCUCCAUUUUGGGAGUGAGUGGCUACUUCCGUUGGAAGAAUGGAUCCAGGUGAUGUGCUUGACCUGGGGACCUUGUUCAUCUCAUCCUUUCUCAGAUGCACCCAGUGUGGUCCUGGCUUACAGUUCACAUUCAAUAAAUCACUCCUGAGUCA